RNAcentral lists this ribosomal RNA (468 nucleotides) under uncultured bacterium. RNAcentral's name for it is "partial 16S ribosomal RNA". It matches the Rfam family "Bacterial small subunit ribosomal RNA", at positions 28 to 507 of the family's 1533-position model. The record is from RNAcentral.
GACGAACGCUGGCGGCGUGCUUAACACAUGCAAGUCGAACGGAAAGGCCCUGCUUUUGUGGGGUGCUCGAGUGGCGAACGGGUGAGUAACACGUGAGUAACCUGCCCUUGACUUUGGGAUCACUUCAGGAAACUGGGGCUAAUACCGCAUAGGAGCUCCUGCUGCAUGGUGGGGGUUGGAAAGUUUCGGCGGUUGGGGAUGGACUCGCGGCUUAUCAGCUUGUUGGUGGGGUAGUGGCUUACCAAGGCUUUGACGGGUAGCCGGCCUGAGAGGGUGACCGGCCACAUUGGGACUGGGAUACGGCCCCGACUCCUACGGGAGGAAGCGGUGGGGAAUAUUGCAUAAUGGGCGGAAGCCUGAUGCAGCACCGCCGCGUGCGGGAUGACGGCCUUCGGGUAGUAAACCGCUUUCGCCUGUGACGAAGCGUGAGUGAGGGUAAUGAGUAAAGAAGCACCGGCUAGAUACGUG